CCCGGAAGGCCUGAGUUGCAGAAGCCUGUGUGGCAAGCAUCUAGACUGGUUCCCAGGAUGAACAGCAGCACUAGCCCUCAAAGGGACCCAGAGAUGCAUAUGGUCGGUAGAGGUGUGAGAGAGUUCCCUCAUUGCCCAG
This is a long non-coding RNA of Neogale vison (American mink), 139 nucleotides long. RefSeq lists it as uncharacterized. The record is from RefSeq and is a predicted model, not a curated record. Lineage: Eukaryota; Metazoa; Chordata; Mammalia; Carnivora; Mustelidae. The transcript is spliced from 3 exons.